RNAcentral lists this long non-coding RNA (1047 nucleotides) under Rattus norvegicus (Norway rat). RNAcentral describes it as "long non-coding RNA NONRATT005099". The record is from RNAcentral. Lineage: Eukaryota; Metazoa; Chordata; Mammalia; Rodentia; Muridae.
CCGCCGUACCUACGGGGUGGCGGUCCCCGGCGGCUGUGGUGCGAGUCGGGAGGACGGCCGUAGCGCGCCAUCUGCACCCGCAGCUCGCGGCCAUCGAGCACGGCCCCAUCCAUGGCGUCCAUGGCGUCUUCGGCGUCACGCUUGUCGUGGAACCGGACGAAAGCGAAGCCACGGGACUCCUUGGUGUAGCGGUCCCGCGGGAUGUACACGUCGCCGACGCGCCCGUACUUCUCGAAGACGCGCCUCAGGGUGUCGGGUGAGGUGCGGUAGGUCAGGUUGUCCACCUUGAGGGAGGUCAUGCCCUCCACAUCGGGAGGCGGGCGGCCGUAGCUCAUGGCUGCGAAGCGGCGCCGAGACCCCAACGCCCCGGACAGGCCCUCGCUCUCAGGAAACGCGGCUUCUCUCUGGCUUUCGGCAGCUACAAUCCUCGUGGAUCAGCCAAGAGCCGCAAGGCCGCCGCGUAGCACCCUCGCGGGAAGGACUCGACUGUAAGGGGGUUCGACUGGAGGUGAUUAUCCUGGGCCGCUCCUGACCUCCGAGCAAGCGGAGCCAAAAUGUCUCCGGAAUCUAAAAAGCUUUUCAACAUCGUAAUUUUAGGAGUUGCCUUUAUGUUUAUGUUCACCGCCUUUCAGACUUGUGGAAAUGUGGCGCAAACUGUCAUCAGGAGCUUAAAUAGCACAGAUUUUCAUGGCAGUGGAUAUACCAGCUUGGCAAUUAUUUAUGGCGUGUUCUCUGCCUCAAAUUUGAUCACUCCGUCCGUGGUCGCCAUUGUCGGGCCUCAGAUCUCUAUGUUUGUCAGUGGUUUGUUCUACAGUCCUUUGGACAGCACAAGGAAAUUGCCUGACAAUAAACUCUGAUGAACACACAAUCGGGAGAAACAGCGGGAUUUUCUGGGCACUCUUGCAAUCUAGCUUGUUCUUUGGGAAUCUCUACAUAUAUUUUGCCUGGCAAGGGAAAACCCAGAUUUCAGAAUGACAGAAGGACUGUGUUCAUCGCUCUGACAGUCAUAAGCCUCGUGGGGACCGUUCUGUUCUUUCUCAUUCGGAA